RNAcentral lists this ribosomal RNA (497 nucleotides) under uncultured bacterium. Its description in RNAcentral is "partial 16S ribosomal RNA". It matches the Rfam family "Bacterial small subunit ribosomal RNA", at positions 28 to 507 of the family's 1533-position model. The record is from RNAcentral.
GAUGAACGCUGGCGGCGUGCCUAAUACAUGCAAGUCGAGCGAACGGACGAGAAGCUUGCUUCUCUGAUGUUAGCGGCGGACGUGUGAGUAACACGUGGAUAACCUACCUAUAAGACUGGGAUAACUUCGGGAAACCGGAGCUAAUCCCGGAUAAUAUUUUGAACCGUAUGGUUCAAAAGUGAAAGACGGUCUUGCUGUCACUUAUAGAUGGAUCUGCGCUGCAUUAGCUAGUUGGUAAGGUAACGGCUUAUCAAGGCAACGAUGCAUAGCCGACCUGUGAGAGGGGUCGGCCACACGGGAGCGGGGACGGGGACAAGGCUACUGAGAGAGGCAGCAGUAGGGAAUCUUCCGCAGUGGGCGAGAGCCUGACGGAGCAGCGCCGCGUGAGAGAUGGAGGUCUUCCGAUCGUAAAACUCUGUUAUUAGGGAAAAACAUAUGUGUAAGUAACUGAGCACAUCUUGACGGUACCUGAUCAGAAAGCCACGGCUAACUACGUG